Amphiprion ocellaris (clown anemonefish) is the source of this 3985-nucleotide long non-coding RNA. Lineage: Eukaryota; Metazoa; Chordata; Actinopteri; Pomacentridae. The record is from Ensembl.
AUUGUUUCAACCUUUAUUAAACAUAGCUUGCAAGAGAUAAAUAUUACAAAGUUAUUUCCUCCAAAAUUAGCUUAUUUUUUCAAUCAAUGCAUAAUUGUCAAUCAACUGGCAGUAUUCAAACAGCAUUAUUUUCUUCUACUUUUUUGAAGACCAUUAAAUAUCAAGUAUGUGCAAAAGGUCAGGAUUGAUGUAAGCAAAACUAAAAUGACUCAAAUAGUCUCUGGUCAGCAUCAUCAUUUGUUUUUGAUUCCCAGGAUGUUUAUUUCAAUGUUGUCAACACUAUGCAAAAUGCUUCUACAUGAAAAUUGAUAUAACUGAUUUUGCACUUAAAUCUUUCCCUGCAUUAGCAACAACAACUAAUAGAAUAUAAAGCCAAACAGUACAGGACCAUACAUGUUGUAUGCUGGUGUUGGCAGAAAAAGUGAUCACUGAUUCAGAGCGAACCCUUCACAGGUGAAGCAGGUCGGACCAGGAAACACCUACUGUGAGAGCUUAUUGGCAAAGUCUGACAUACGCGGUUAUAUUCAGUAGACUAUUUUAUGCCAAAAACACAAUAGUGUUACCCCUAGAAUUACAUAUUUCUUAGUGAGGAAAGAAAACAAAAUAGAAAUAGCAUGUAAACAAUGCUAAAAAGCUAGAAUCCUCUUGAAACUUUAGUUUGGAUUCUGUCAAUGAUUUUCUGUGUUUAAGCCACUAAUUACCAAUCAUGAUUACUGACCAUUUGUCACUGUCCAUUCAUCAAGUCAAUGAUUUUUUUUGUAUGUUUUAGGAAUCAAUUUCCAUCCUUUGUGCUGCUUACAGUACCACCAGAUGACUUUCCAGAAUCAGUGUCCUUGUUAGAUUUUUCUGUUGAAGAAUCUGUCCCGUGUGUUUGUUGAUUAUUUAUUAACACUGGAACUCUAGAAAUCAUUGAUUUGGAAAUGACUUGUUAUUGUAUCUUACAUCACAAUCAAUUUAGCAUGUACAGCGCAGCAGAGCAACUUUCAGUGGCCGUAGAAAGUCAUUGGCUGCUUGAAUAUGUGGACAUAAGAAAGUGGUCGGCGGUAAUGACUUGCAGCGAACAUCCAAACACUCCAAGGCGUCAGUUUGACUCUGAAUCAAUCAGUUAAGGAGGGUUCAUCUAAUCCAAACAUUCAAAGUGCUUUAAUCUAGAACUUGUUCAGGAAACAAUUCUGUAAGGAACAAAGUUAUUUCAAGCUGCAAAAAUUCAACAGUAGACAAAUGUGUUUCAGACCUGCAGAUUCGAUCACUCUGAACCAGUCAUCACUCCUCUGCAAACGUUAACUAGUCCAAAAUUAAAGCCAAUGCAUCCAGCGAGACUGCUUUAAGAAGCAGAGGGGGGGGGGGGGAAGAAUCCCAAACAUUUUGCACAUUUGUUACACAAUAAUACACAGUGAUCACAAAACGAAAUGACAAGCUUCACAAUAUUCAUGGCUUUUUGUUUGCUUUUCUACACAAUGUACAACCAUUUAAUUUCUUUUUUCAGUACAAGGGAGGAAAAAAUGCUUAUUUACAAUAAGUCAUUAUUACUUCAAACCUAGCAAAUAUCGUGUCAUUUAUUUCAUAGUCAAUACAUUUAUUUAGUUUUUUAAACUGCAAUAGAAACAAAACAGAACUCAAAUGGGACAUCAGAAUAACAAUGACUUUUGAAAUCUAAGAAUUAAUAUUUGAAAAGAAUCUGUAGUCCAAAUACAAAGGUGUGUGGAUGCAUCUGCAAAAGAGUAAGAGAGACAGGAGUUGUUUUUCAUUUUUUAAAUUUAAACUUCACCAUGGCAGCAAAAGUAGAGAUACAUGACAAAAAUUGCUAAAUCAGAUCAUGAGCGGCAGUCAAAAUUUGCCCAGGCAUUAAAAAAAUUGUGAAACUAUAUCACUACGUCCAAUUUCAAUUGUUCCACUAAUGAGAAAAAUGAGACUUUUUAAUAUAUUUAAACAAAAAUCUGUAGUUUGUACAUGUAAACUUCAGUUUACACCUCUGAAACUAAUUCUAGGUAGUUUCAUAGUCUUAGUUUAUGUCUUCUACUUCAGCUGGCUGUUUAUUUUCGGUUCAUUCUGACAUAGUGACAGGCAGGUCUGGAUUACUCAAACACAACCAUAACACGUCCAUCUGACCGUGGCUGAAAAAAAAAAUACAAAAGCAACCACUGUGGCCUGUAGACAGUGAAACUGUAAUGAUGCAGAACAAGUCUAACAGUGACACAGAUUACACAUAAAUACAAUUACAAGAGCUGUGCAAUCGCAUCACAAUCUCAACCAUGUGGAGCUCCAUUCUGGAAUCUAUCAGAGCCAACUGUUAGUUAAUAAAGGCUCCAACAGAUAUUAUUCUCUUGUGUAUUAGAUCAGUUUAAUAACAUUAUAGUAGAAGUAAGCUUUUUAUAUAUUACUGAAGUAACUUCACUGUUCUAAGUGGCCUUCUCUUAAGAUGAGGAGCCCACACAAGAAGUGAAACUGAAGCUAGCUGUGGUAGCCUGGACUAAACAAUACAUUUGCCGUACUGAUUUUUUCAUUUGUACUGGGGGAAAAAAAAUCAAACUAUCAAGUUUUCUGCUACUGAAUUAGCAAGAAAAAUAGAGUGUUUCCCAAAAAAAGGACGAUCACAUGGUUGUUAAAAUACAGAGUUUUCACAUUUUGCUAGUAAUCUGUAGAUGACAAAUAUUUUGUUUAGAACACGACAAAAUAAAGCUCCUGUAUCACGUUUUAGUAUGUUUUCCACAUUUGCCAACCUUUAAUCAGAGAUUUGCAUGGAUUUCAUACUUCAGGUUUUGAAGCAUAAAAUCCCCCAACACAGUAAAAAUAACAAUUAUUAUUAUUAUUAUUAUUAUUAUUAUUAUUAUUAUUAUUAUUAUUAUUAUUAUUCAUCUGCCCAAAAUCUGUGUUGCUGAUAAAAUAUUAUUAGUUUCUUUAUGAUUUCCUGAACUCUGAAAAUUCUAUUUGGGUGUAAUGGUAAAAUAUAUCUAACUACAGCAGCUUACAUUAUAGUAUAAUGUGUUUUCAUCAUUACUUGCUGCCAUAUUUUGUUACUUAAUUAAUGAUAAGAGAGAUCGAGUCCUACAUACAAGAGAAGAAUCCACACGUACAUAAUUGUUACUUCAGCAAACUGCCUUGUGAGAGACUGCAUACAUAGCAUGAAAAGUCUGGGAAAUAACAAACUUGACAUGACAGAAAAAUAUUUGGGAUUUUCACAAGCCAAGCUUUUACCAAGUGAUGAGACUGUAGCGUAGAAAUUCACCUCAGCUGGUAGAGGUUUAGAAAAGUAUGACUGUGAUUAGAUCCUGAUGUAUCCUGGCCUCUGCUAUGACUGAAUGUAAAAGAUGUCAGAUUAUAGAGCUAAGAGAUGAAACAAAACUCCACGUGUGAUUGUGUGUCUGGUAAGGCCAUGCGAUGUUUGUGCACCAGUGCUGGAGCUGAAAGAUGGAAAAAGCCUGAUGUUUAGACUGUGUCCUAUGUGCAGAGAAAGCCUUUAACUAGAAGCUUUAAGGCUUUCUUUUAUUUUUUAAAUGAGAUGUUUUUGGGCAGCGUGAUGCGGCAAAUUAGUUUUUUUUUAAGAGAUGAUAGUAAGUAAUGAAACUAAGCGGAACAGAGGUGAGCCUAAGAGUGGAUCUUUGGUAGCUAGUUUAGCUAACUAGCUGUGUGGGUUCAUUCAGCCAAGCGGUUAAAACAUACUACUGCUUGCUGCUUAGUGUAAAGCCAUCAGUUAUGUUCAGAUUCAAGGAGAUGGCUGGUGAGGUCCAGACAGACACACUCUUCCCUAUUAAGUGCUUUAGUUUCCCAUUUAAUUUUUAGGGAGAACUUAAAACUUUUUAGGAUUUUUUUUUUUAAGCAGUGUAAUUUUAGAAAUGGGUUUUUAACCGUUACAUUUGCUUAUCUUCAAUUUUUUGCAUCAUUGUACAUUUUGAAUCACUUGCAGGCAAAAGUCUACAGUCACACUAUGGCUGUGUGUCUUUACCUGGACUUUGACAGUGCUUUGAGCUAUAUGCCAGUGUCAAGG